CAGUCGCCGCGGGAACACGUAGGGUGCGAGCGUUAAUCGGAAUUACUGGGCGUAAAGCGUGCGCAGGCGGUUGUGUAAGACAGGUGUGAAAUCCCCGGGCUUAACCUGGGAACUGCGCUUGUGACUGCACAGCUAGAGUAUGGCAGAGGGGGGUGGAAUUCCACGUGUAGCAGUGAAAAGCGUAGAGAUGUGGAGGAACACCGAUGGCGAAGGCAGCCCCCUGGGCCAAUACUGACGCUCAUGCACGAAAGCGUGGGGAGCAAACAGGAUUAGAUACCCGAGUAGUCCCUGUCUCUUAUAC
Molecule: ribosomal RNA, 301 nt
Filed under: uncultured bacterium
Lineage: Bacteria
Description: partial 16S ribosomal RNA
Rfam family: Bacterial small subunit ribosomal RNA
Source: RNAcentral